UUCCUCUGUAGUUCAGCCGGUAGAACGGCGGACUGUUAAUCCGUAUGUCACUGGUUCGAGUCCAGUCAGAGGAGCCAA
Molecule: transfer RNA, 78 nt
Filed under: Escherichia coli B171
Lineage: Bacteria; Pseudomonadati; Pseudomonadota; Gammaproteobacteria; Enterobacterales; Enterobacteriaceae
Description: tRNA-Asn
Rfam family: tRNA
About the family: Transfer RNA (tRNA) molecules are approximately 80 nucleotides in length. Their secondary structure includes four short double-helical elements and three loops (D, anti-codon, and T loops). Further hydrogen bonds mediate the characteristic L-shaped molecular structure. tRNAs have two regions of fundamental functional importance: the anti-codon, which is responsible for specific mRNA codon recognition, and the 3' end, to which the tRNAs corresponding amino acid is attached (by aminoacyl-tRNA synthetases). tRNAs cope with the degeneracy of the genetic code in two manners: having more than one tRNA (with a specific anti-codon) for a particular amino acid; and 'wobble' base-pairing, i.e. permitting non-standard base-pairing at the 3rd anti-codon position.
Source: RNAcentral